AACGAACGCUGGCGGCAUGCCUAACACAUGCAAGUCGAACGAGACCUUCGGGUCUAGUGGCGCACGGGUGCGUAACGCGUGGGAACCUACCUUUAGGUUCGGAAUAACUCAGAGAAAUUUGAGCUAAUACCGGAUGAUGUCUUCGGACCAAAGAUUUAUCGCCUUUAGAUGGGCCCGCGUUGGAUUAGCUAGUUGGCGGGGUAAAGGCCUACCAAGGCGACGAUCCAUAGCUGGUCUGAGAGGAUGAUCAGCCACACUGGGACUGAGACACGGCCCAGACUCCUACGGGAGGCAGCAGUGGGGAAUAUUGGACAAUGGGCGAAAGCCUGAUCCAGCAAUGCCGCGUGAGUGAUGAAGGCCUUAGGGUUGUAAAGCUCUUUUACCCGAGAUGAUAAUGACAGUAUCGGGAGAAUAAGCUCCGGCUAACUCCGUG
RNAcentral lists this ribosomal RNA (433 nucleotides) under uncultured bacterium. Its description in RNAcentral is "partial 16S ribosomal RNA". It matches the Rfam family "Bacterial small subunit ribosomal RNA", at positions 29 to 507 of the family's 1533-position model. The record is from RNAcentral.